UGAGAACUGCCCCGCCUGCGGGACUUGGC
This 29-nucleotide non-coding RNA is filed under the name Mus musculus (house mouse). Lineage: Eukaryota; Metazoa; Chordata; Mammalia; Rodentia; Muridae. The record is from RNAcentral.